RNAcentral lists this transfer RNA (71 nucleotides) under Stegodyphus mimosarum. It matches the Rfam family "tRNA". From Rfam's summary of the family: Transfer RNA (tRNA) molecules are approximately 80 nucleotides in length. Their secondary structure includes four short double-helical elements and three loops (D, anti-codon, and T loops). Lineage: Eukaryota; Metazoa; Arthropoda; Arachnida; Araneae; Eresidae. The record is from Rfam by way of RNAcentral.
GCCUUCGUGGUGCAAUAGUAGCACUUCUGGUCUGAAUUCGAGAGGUCUAAGUUCGAGUCUCGGCGAGGGCA